GUCGACGAGAGAAUUGCUAGCUUGCUAAUAAUUCUCUAGUGGCGCACGGGUGAGUAACACGUGAGUAACCUGCCCCCGAGAGCGGGAUAGCCCUGGGAAACUGGGAUUAAUACCGCAUAGUAUCGAAAGAUUAAAGCAGCAAUGCGCUUGGGGAUGGGCUCGCGGCCUAUUAGUUAGUUGGUGAGGUAACGGCUCACCAAGGCGAUGACGGGUAGCCGGUCUGAGAGGAUGUCCGGCCACACUGGAACUGAGACACGGUCCAGACACCUACGGGUGGCAGCAGUCGAGAAUCAUUCACAAUGGGGGAAACCCUGAUGGUGCGACGCCGCGUGGGGGAAUGAAGGUCUUCGGAUUGUAAACCCCUGUCAUGUGGGAGCAAAUUAAAAAGAUAGUACCACAAGAGGAAGAGACGGCUAACUCUGUGCCAGCAGCCGCGGUAAUACAGAGGUCUCAAGCGUUGUUCGGAAUCACUGGGCGUAAAGCGUGCGUAGGCUGUUUCGUAAGUCGUGUGUGAAAGGCGCGGGCUCAACCCGCGGACGGCACAUGAUACUGCGAGACUAGAGUAAUGGAGGGGGAACCGGAAUUCUCGGUGUAGCAGUGAAAUGCGUAGAUAUCGAGAGGAACACUCGUGGCGAAAGCGGGUUCCUGGACAUUAACUGACGCUGAGGCACGAAGGCCAGGGGAGCGAAAGGGAUUAGAUACCCCUGUAGUCCUGGCAGUAAACGGUGCACGCUUGGUGUGCGGGGAAUCGACCCCCUGCGUGCCGGAGCUAACGCGUUAAGCGUGCCGCCUGGGGAGUACGGUCGCAAGAUUAAAACUCAAAGAAAUUGACGGGGACCCGCACAAGCGGUGGAGUAUGUGGCUUAAUUCGAUGNCACGCGAAGAACCUUACCNGGGCUUGA
This 902-nucleotide ribosomal RNA is filed under the name uncultured bacterium. RNAcentral's name for it is "bacterial SSU rRNA". It matches the Rfam family "Bacterial small subunit ribosomal RNA", at positions 61 to 984 of the family's 1533-position model. The record is from RNAcentral.